UGCGUAGGUGGCGGGGUAAGUUUGAUGUGAAAGCUCCGAGCUCAACUCGGAAAUUGCAUUGAAUACUAUCUUGCUAGAGGGUUGAAGGGGGGACUGGAAUUCUCGGUGUAGCAGUGAAAUGCGUAGAUAUCGAGAGGAACACCAGUGGCGAAGGCGAGUCCCUGGACAACUCCUGACACUGAGGCACGAAAGGCUAGGGGAAGCAAACA
RNAcentral lists this ribosomal RNA (209 nucleotides) under uncultured bacterium. RNAcentral describes it as "partial 16S ribosomal RNA". It matches the Rfam family "Bacterial small subunit ribosomal RNA", at positions 568 to 774 of the family's 1533-position model. The record is from RNAcentral.